GAAAUGCGAUAAGUAGUGUAAAUUGCAGAAUUUAGUGAAUUAUCGAAUCUUUAAACGUACAUUGCGCCCCUUGGUAUUCCAUAGGGCACGCCUGUUCGAGCGUCAUCUACACCCUUAAGCUAUACUUAGUAUUAGGCGUCUGUCCCGCCUCCGCGCGCGGACUCGCCCCAAAUCUAUUAGCAGCGGACUCGCCCCCUCCCGUGCAGCACAUUGCGCUUCUCGAGGUGUUACAGCUCGCUUCCACAAAGCACCCAUUACCGUCUUUAACCUCAGAUCAGGUGUGAAAACCCGCUAAACUUAAGC
RNAcentral lists this unclassified non-coding RNA (303 nucleotides) under plant metagenome. RNAcentral describes it as "partial contains 5.8S ribosomal RNA and internal transcribed spacer 2". The stretch from base 1 to 105 matches the Rfam family "5.8S ribosomal RNA", at positions 50 to 154 of the family's 154-position model. The record is from RNAcentral.